UCCGUGAUUCUCCUUUUGUUUUCCCUCCGCCUCAGGCCGCGCUUUUUCCUCCCCCCCGCGUGUGCCUCUGGCUCAGGGCCUCAGUUUCCCCAUCGGGACAAUGGAGAAGCUUCCUGCCAGGCCAUUGGGCGCCUCCACUCGCCUUGCGAUUGGCCCACUGAGCAGCCUUGUUCCCGCAACGCAAAGAGAGCGGACACCGCGGAGUUCGGAGCUUUGGACAGACGGGAGGGCCUUUUAUUCGCGAGGAUCGGGGGUGGGGUCCUAGGUGUGGAGAGACAAUAAAUACUGAGGAAUGU
Suricata suricatta (meerkat) is the source of this 296-nucleotide long non-coding RNA. RefSeq lists it as uncharacterized. Lineage: Eukaryota; Metazoa; Chordata; Mammalia; Carnivora; Herpestidae. The record is from RefSeq and is a predicted model, not a curated record. The transcript has 2 exons.